This is a non-coding RNA of Oryza punctata, 119 nucleotides long. NCBI's taxonomy places the organism in Eukaryota, Viridiplantae, Streptophyta, Magnoliopsida, Poales, Poaceae. The record is from Rfam.
GGAUGCGAUCAUACCAGCACUAAAGCACCGGAUCCCAUCAGAACUUCGAAGUUAAGUGUGCUUGGGCGAGAGUAGUACUAGGAUGUGUGACCUCCUGGGAUGUCCUCGUGUUGCAUCCU